RNAcentral lists this long non-coding RNA (258 nucleotides) under Equus caballus (horse). RNAcentral describes it as "lncRNA (ENSECAG00000055929.1)". Lineage: Eukaryota; Metazoa; Chordata; Mammalia; Perissodactyla; Equidae. The record is from RNAcentral.
AAUAAAGCCUGACAGGGACAGGAGAGACAGGGCUGGGCCUCCACGGCGCCAUGCCAGCACUAACCAGGAGAGCGAGGGCCAGCUCAAGGACCCACGCCCCACCACCCCGCUUCAGUGCUGUGCUGUUGUAUCCCUGGGGGCAGAGGAGGCUUCAAGUUGUUUUCUCCACUUACCAGCUGGAUGACUUAUGGGGAAGAAGAAAGAAGGACCGAUUAAAGGCAUCCCUUUUCUAUUGAUAGAAACAGAUGCAGUUUUUCC